ACUCCUACGGGAGGCAGCAGUGGGGAAUAUUGCACAAUGGGGGAAACCCUGAUGCAGCCAUGCCGCGUGUGUGAAGAAGGCCUUCGGGUUGUAAAGCACUUUCAGUAGGGAGGAAGGUAGUGUAGUUAACACCGUGCAAUUAUUGACGUUACCUUACAGAAGAAGCACCGGCUAAACUCCGUGCCAGCAGCCGCGGUAAUACGGAGGGUGCGAGCGUUAAUCGGAAUUACUGGGCGUAAAGCGCAUGCAGGUGGUUUGUUAAGUCAGAUGUGAAAGCCCGGGGCUCAACCUCGGAAUAGCAUUUGAAACUGGCAAGCUAGAGUAC
RNAcentral lists this ribosomal RNA (325 nucleotides) under uncultured bacterium. RNAcentral describes it as "bacterial SSU rRNA". It matches the Rfam family "Bacterial small subunit ribosomal RNA", at positions 335 to 649 of the family's 1533-position model. The record is from RNAcentral.